Pelobates cultripes (western spadefoot toad) is the source of this 217-nucleotide non-coding RNA. The record is from the annotation of a GenBank genome assembly. Lineage: Eukaryota; Metazoa; Chordata; Amphibia; Anura; Pelobatidae.
CCAUGACCCAUUUUCAAUGGCCUGGCUGAAGGAAGGAGGUUCUUACCCAAGAUGUGACGGUCCUUUGCUCUUGUCAAUCUUCCCUUUUAUGUGGUGCAGUUGUCCUGUCCCCUUAGCAGAAAAACACCCUGUGAUCCUUGUUUGCAGAUAGCACGGUCCUCUUGGGUAAACAACAGGCACAGUCCUUUGGUUUUCAUAUAGUACAGGCAAUUUUAUU